CCUACGGGAGGCUGCAGUGAGGAAUAUUGGUCAAUGGUCGGGAGACUGAACCAGCCAAGCCGCGUGAGGGAUGAAGGUACAGAGUAUCGUAAACCUCUUUUGUCAGGGAACAAAGUCGGGGACGUGUCCCCGGAUGAGUGUACCUGAAGAAAAAGCAUCGGCUAACUCCGUGCCAGCAGCCGCGGUAAUACGGAGGAUGCGAGCGUUAUCCGGAUUUAUUGGGUUUAAAGGGUGCGCAGGCGGGUUGUUAAGUCAGCUGUCAAAGCCCGGGGCUCAACCCCGACACGGCAGUUGAAACUGGCAGUCUUGAGUAGAGGAGAGGUAGGCGGAAUGCGUGGUGUAGCAGUGAAAUGCUUAGAUAUCGCGAAGAACUCCGAUUGCGAAGGCAGCCUGCCGGACCCAAACUGACGCUGAGGCACGAAAGUGUGGGUAUCGAACAGGAUUAGAUACCCGGGUAGUC
This 460-nucleotide ribosomal RNA is filed under the name uncultured bacterium. RNAcentral's name for it is "partial 16S ribosomal RNA". It matches the Rfam family "Bacterial small subunit ribosomal RNA", at positions 338 to 795 of the family's 1533-position model. The record is from RNAcentral.